This 1202-nucleotide long non-coding RNA is filed under the name Gallus gallus (chicken). RNAcentral's name for it is "lncRNA (ENSGALG00010017961.1)". The record is from RNAcentral. Lineage: Eukaryota; Metazoa; Chordata; Aves; Galliformes; Phasianidae.
GGGACUUUACACUGAAGUAGGCAUCCUGAUUGCUGCUUUCAUUAAUAUGGAUUCAAAACUAGUUGAUCACUGUGGUCCUUUUCAACCCAGGCCAUUGUACGAUUCUGUGACUGACGAUGGCCCCACCAGCUCACAAAACAUAAGCAUGAACCAAGCACCAUGUGAGCCCUGCUGGUGUAACAGGCUGCCUGAGAGUGAACACACCGUGAGAAGAACUUGGCUCAGCAGGCCCAAGCCAAAAAGGAAAGCAAGGAUGUACAGAAGAAUGCGGAUCACUGAGAUGUCAGAUCAGCUACUCUGCUUUGUGACUACAGAGAAUAAAGGAGGAUGGCAGAUCCUGCACUUCCCAGCUAAGUGCUUUUGAUCAGUGGUCAACACGGUGAUGAAUGCUUUUCCAUCGCACCCUUCAUCCCAUGCAUUUUCAAGGCUGCUUAGAGGUGGGAAGGCAAGAAGAAAGAAUACUGUGAUCCGACAGAAUUCAAUUUCCUGAAAAAAAUAAAUCUUUUUUUUUUUUUCCCUAUGACCUAAAUGGAAAACAUAUUGUUCUGAAAGUGCUGUUCAAACUGAAUUACCGAAACCUUUUAUCAACAAAGAGGCCGUCAUAUAUCAGACAUCUGGUGGGGAUGUCAAUUAUAAUAAUUAAUUAGACAUCUCCCCAGAUGCCUGACACUACAUUCUGUCAGCAGAUUUUUUGACUUCAAUCAAAACUGCUGCUGCAUUAUGCAUGAAACUCAUGGAGUAGUUGGGAGUCGAGGAGAUCAGCUACAAAUCACAGCCAAGCACACGGAAGGCCUCCUGGUUCUGAUGGCUUCUACCACUUUUGAAGGCUGCCAAGAGAAGGUCACAUGCACUGAUUUCUUCUCUUUCCUUAACGUUUUCAAGUGCAUCACACUUUUUCACGCAGGCAUUCAAACGAAAAAGAGGAGUGGUGAGGAAUAUCAUUCAUAAACCAAAGGGAAGGGCUGCCGCUGCGUCCCUGUGGUGGGGAAGAAGGAAGUCCCACGUGCAGUCACCAAUCCGAAGUGCAACCACAAUGGAGCAUCUUCAUUUGUUCCUCCUGUGACCAUACCAGCAGCACUGGUUUAGCACCACAGAAGGAGACAGAAGAAGACGGCCCUGCAUCAUUUUCUUCUCUAUAUUUUUUAAUUCUUCCUUUUUUUUUUCAUAAUUAAAUGGAAAAUAAAUUAAUUCCUGGGUUAUUU